Molecule: ribosomal RNA, 253 nt
Filed under: uncultured bacterium
Lineage: Bacteria
Description: partial 16S ribosomal RNA
Rfam family: Bacterial small subunit ribosomal RNA
Source: RNAcentral
UACGUAGGGUGCAAGCGUUAUCCGGAAUUAUUGGGCGUAAAGAGCUCGUAGGCGGUUUGUCGCGUCUGCUGUGAAAACCGGAGGCUCAACCUCCGGCCUGCAGUGGGUACGGGCAAACUAGAGUGCGGUAGGGGAGAUUGGAAUUCCUGGUGUAGCGGUGGAAUGCGCAGAUAUCAGGAGGAACACCGGUGGCGAAGGCGGGUCUCUGGGCCGAUACUGACGCUGAGGAGCGAAAGCGUGGGGAGCGAACAGG